Molecule: ribosomal RNA, 303 nt
Filed under: uncultured bacterium
Lineage: Bacteria
Description: partial 16S ribosomal RNA
Rfam family: Bacterial small subunit ribosomal RNA
Source: RNAcentral
AGCAGUCGCCACGGGAAUACGGAGGGAGCUAGCGUUGUUCGGAAUUACUGGGCGUAAAGCGCGCGUAGGCGGUUACUCAAGUCAGAGGUGAAAGCCCGGGGCUCAACCCCGGAACUGCCUUUGAAACUAGGUGACUAGAAUCUUGGAGAGGUCAGUGGAAUUCCGAGUGUAGAGGUGAAAUUCGUAGAUAUUCGGAAGAACACCAGUGGCGAAGGCGACUGACUGGACAAGUAUUGACGCUGAGGUGCGAAAGCGUGGGGAGCAAACAGGAUUAGAUACCCCUGUAGUCCCUGUCUCUUAUAC